GUCUAUGGCCAUAACACCUGGAAUGCCCCUGAUCUUCUCUGAUCUCAGAAUAUCAGCAGGGUUGGGCCUUGUACUAGGAUGGGAGAAAAUUUAGAGAACUAAAUGAUGAAUGGUAGUGGACACAGAGU
This 128-nucleotide ribosomal RNA is filed under the name Carlito syrichta (Philippine tarsier). The record is from RNAcentral. Lineage: Eukaryota; Metazoa; Chordata; Mammalia; Primates; Tarsiidae.